GGUGCAGCUGCUGAAAAGCUCAAGCGAGCAUGCUACAAGUAUUAUCUAGGUUUCUCACGGACCCAAUCAACUUUACUUAGGGCCUGUUUGGUGUCAUGCACCGGCGUGAGUCAGGCUCACCGCAUGCACCCUCCUUUAGUUUGGUUGCCUGAUCGACCCCUCGAGCCAGGCCCUACGUGUGCAAAACGCCCCCCGCGGCCAGGCUCCGCGGAUACGAGGCGAGCGCGCGGGAGGCAAGCGGCCAUUUCGCUAGGGUUACCUCCCCAUUUUGCGUCACUCACUGCAAAUAUAUCCCCUGCCCCGCCGCCUCCACUCCCCAUCGGUCACCAUUCGUC
RNAcentral lists this long non-coding RNA (335 nucleotides) under Setaria viridis. RNAcentral's name for it is "long non-coding RNA (SVIR_LNC000416)". Lineage: Eukaryota; Viridiplantae; Streptophyta; Magnoliopsida; Poales; Poaceae. The record is from RNAcentral.